GGAGGUGACUGGUGCCUGGUGGUGCCCCUGGUCUUCAAAACCAGUGUGGGGCUUGCAAGAGUCCCGGGUGGGUUCGAUUCCCAUUCACCUCCGCCA
This 96-nucleotide transfer RNA is filed under the name Planctomycetaceae bacterium. RNAcentral describes it as "tRNA-Sec". It matches the Rfam family "Selenocysteine transfer RNA". Lineage: Bacteria; Pseudomonadati; Planctomycetota; Planctomycetia; Planctomycetales; Planctomycetaceae. The record is from RNAcentral.